AAAUGACUCUCGGCAACGGAUAUCCCGGCUCUCGCAUCGAUGAAGAACGUAGCGAAAUGCGAUACUUGGUGUGAAUUGCAGAAUCCCGUGAACCAUCGAGUCUUUGAACGCAAGUUGCGCCCGAAGCCAUUAGGUUGAGGGCACGUCUGCCUGGGUGUCACGC
Molecule: ribosomal RNA, 163 nt
Filed under: Ferula olivacea
Lineage: Eukaryota; Viridiplantae; Streptophyta; Magnoliopsida; Apiales; Apiaceae
Also listed under: 1 other name
Description: 5.8S ribosomal RNA
Rfam family: 5.8S ribosomal RNA
About the family: 5.8S ribosomal RNA (5.8S rRNA) is a component of the large subunit of the eukaryotic ribosome. It is transcribed by RNA polymerase I as part of the 45S precursor that also contains 18S and 28S rRNA.
Source: RNAcentral